Molecule: long non-coding RNA, 427 nt
Organism: Bactrocera latifrons
Lineage: Eukaryota; Metazoa; Arthropoda; Insecta; Diptera; Tephritidae
Exons: 3
Source: RefSeq, a predicted model, not a curated record
GCAAUUUAUUUAUGUAGUUUAUAAAUAUAAAUUUUAAUUAAUUUGACAGCAUUUUAAACAUGAUAUCUGCAAAAGCACCAGGAGCCACCGCAAUUUGGGAAGCGCUGCUUAGAAUGAUGUAGAAUGAUAUGACCUGCCACAUUUAACUAAAACCACUUUAUGUCGUUUAUACACACUGUGAGAAAUGCACUUUAUGAGCCGUACGAGUUAUACGACGGGAUGAAAUAGUUCAGCGUAUUAAGAGACAGCGGCUACGCUGUCAAGGGCAUGUCGUUCAAAUAGAUGGUUGGAAAGACCAGGUGUAGAAGAACCUGAUUACAUUUGAAGUUUCCAAUUGGCGAAGAGGAAAAACGAUUGGCGCGCUUUUGUAAACUCAGCUAUAAUCAUGCUAAAUGGCAUCCCUUAUUUAUACCUGUACAUAAAUUUG